Molecule: ribosomal RNA, 428 nt
Filed under: uncultured archaeon
Lineage: Archaea
Description: bacterial SSU rRNA
Rfam family: Archaeal small subunit ribosomal RNA
Source: RNAcentral
UACCAGCACCCCGAGUGGUCGGGACGAUUAUUGGGCCUAAAGCAUCCGUAGCCGGUCCUGCAAGUCUUCCGUUAAAUCCAGCUGCUCAACAGAUGGGCUGCGGGGGAUACUACAUGGCUAGGAGGCGGGAGAGGCAAGCGGUACUUUAUGGGUAGGGGUAAAAUCCGUUGACCCAUAGAAGACCACCAGUGGCGAAGGCGGCUUGCCAGAACGCGCUCGACGGUGAGGGAUGAAAGCUGGGGGAGCGAACCGGAUUAGAUACCCGGGUAGUCCCAGCUGUAAACGAUGCAGGCUAGGUGUUUGGGCGGCCACGUGCCGCUCUAGUGCCGCAGAGAAGUCGUUAAGCCUGCCGCCUGGGGAGUACGGCCGCAAGGCUGAAACUUGAAGGAAUUGGCGGGGAGCACCACAAGGGGUGAAGCUUGCGGUUU